UGCCAGAGUCAGUCUGAACCCAAGUU
RNAcentral lists this non-coding RNA (26 nucleotides) under Rattus norvegicus (Norway rat). The record is from RNAcentral. Lineage: Eukaryota; Metazoa; Chordata; Mammalia; Rodentia; Muridae.